UCUUGGUCGGAGGGAGCUUCUGCACUUGGGGAACCAGACAUCUCCACGUACGUGCCACUGAGCCAGUCCCCAAGCUCCGCAAAGAUAGAAGCUCCUUUAUUUGGGACCUUGCCCUGUGUAUCUCUUCAUCGGGCUGUUAACUUGUAUCCUUCAUUAAACUGGUAAAGUUUUUCCUGUACACCAGUGCUUCUCAAAGUUUAACAUGACUUCAGACCACCUGGAGGUCUUACUGUGAUGAGGCCAUGGUGCUGCAGACCUACAAGCUCUGGGAGAUUCAGUUCUGGAGGCUGCAAGUCCAAGAUCGUGCUGCCAGGAGACCUGGGACCUGGAGAUUGACAGAAAGCCCAGGAAUGGAUGCCAGUGCUGACACUCACUCCCAGGUCGCCUACCUCAGUUUACCAAGAAGAAGGACAGCUCCUGCUGUCUCUCCCUCUGGCCUGCGUACUCCUCGCCUCCACUCUAGUGAGCUG
Long non-coding RNA from Manis pentadactyla (Chinese pangolin), 470 nucleotides. RefSeq lists it as uncharacterized. The record is from RefSeq and is a predicted model, not a curated record. The transcript is spliced from 4 exons. NCBI's taxonomy places the organism in Eukaryota, Metazoa, Chordata, Mammalia, Pholidota, Manidae.